Molecule: long non-coding RNA, 645 nt
Organism: Mauremys mutica (yellowpond turtle)
Lineage: Eukaryota; Metazoa; Chordata; Testudines; Geoemydidae
Exons: 3
Source: RefSeq, a predicted model, not a curated record
CUGAGGGCAAGGGGGUAAGAGCUGCUGCUGCUGCUGCUAAUCUGUGGAGUGGGAGCUUCACACUGUCCAUUAGUGAUUUACACUUCUAUGUCAGGCUCUUCAGGAAGAAUUCUUAAAGCACACUGGGAAGCCAUGGUUGGAGGAUCAGUGAGAUAGGGAUGUGUUGUUCUCUCUACAUGUACCAGGAAAACGUAAAGCAGCUGAUAUGACAAUGGCUAAAAAUCACCUCCACAGUCUGUUCAGCCAGUUCUGAGGUGCUGAUCACAUGGGUAUUAGCUGGAUCAAAAUCACAUAAUGCAGAAAGUUCAAAUUAUCCAUUGAGCACGGCCUUCCUCACACACACUGAUUCACAGAGCUUGGUAAAUUUUAGCACAAGUGGGAAAGAAAUCUCAGCUGAAAACAGCAUUUUCCAUCCUAUGAGGCUUCAUCAAAGGGGAAAAAAACAACCUUGCAAUGUUUCCUUGGUUGUUACAGAAUUUGGUAGUUGCACAGUGCUCCAGCAGAGACGUACCAACCUAACAAAUAAAGUGUUUGCAUUGUUCAGAUGCUAAGCUACCACCAUCCUUAUGAUUUGAAGACUGGUAAACAAAACAUUGUUUGGAAAAGGCCAGGCGGGCCUCCAGCUUGGCAAAGGUAAUAAAGCAU